GAAACUUAAAGGAAUUGGCGGGGGAGCACUACAACCGGAGGAGCCUGCGGUUUAAUUGGACUCAACGCCGGACAUCUCACCAGCACCGACAGUAUGCUGUGAAGGUCAGUUUGAUGAGCUUACUGGAGCUACUGAGAGGAGGUGCAUGGCCGCCGUCAGCUCGUACCGUGAGGCGUCCUGUUAAGUCAGGCAACGAGCGAGACCCGCACUCCUAAUUGCCAGCAACACCCUUGAGGUGGUUGGGUACAUUAGGAGGACUGCCAGUGCCAAACUGGAGGAAGGAACGGGCAACGGUAGGUCAGUAUGCCCCGAAUGUGCUGGGCGACACGCGGGCUACAAUGGUCGAGACAGUGGGAUGCAACCCCGAGAGGGGGCGCUAAUCUCCGAAACUCGAUCGUA
RNAcentral lists this ribosomal RNA (399 nucleotides) under uncultured haloarchaeon. RNAcentral describes it as "bacterial SSU rRNA". It matches the Rfam family "Archaeal small subunit ribosomal RNA", at positions 851 to 1246 of the family's 1478-position model. The record is from RNAcentral. Lineage: Archaea; Methanobacteriati; Methanobacteriota; Halobacteria; Halobacteriales; Halobacteriaceae.